This 320-nucleotide ribosomal RNA is filed under the name uncultured bacterium. Its description in RNAcentral is "bacterial SSU rRNA". It matches the Rfam family "Bacterial small subunit ribosomal RNA", at positions 373 to 710 of the family's 1533-position model. The record is from RNAcentral.
GGGCGAAAGCCUGAUGCAGCGACGCCGCGUGAAGGAUGAAGUAUUUCGGUAUGUAAACUUCUAUCAGCAGGGAAGAAAAUGACGGUACCUGACUAAGAAGCCCCGGCUAACUACGUGCCAGCAGCCGCGGUAAUACGUAGGGGGCAAGCGUUAUCCGGAUUUACUGGGUGUAAAGGGAGCGUAGACGGCUGUACAAGUCUGAAGUGAAAGGCAUGGGCUCAACCUGUGGACUGCUUUGGAAACUGUGCAGCUAGAGUGUCGGAGAGGUAAGUGGAAUUCCUAGUGUAGCGGUGAAAUGCGUAGAUAUUAGGAGGAACACC